Molecule: long non-coding RNA, 1016 nt
Filed under: Betta splendens (Siamese fighting fish)
Lineage: Eukaryota; Metazoa; Chordata; Actinopteri; Anabantiformes; Osphronemidae
Description: lncRNA (ENSBSLG00000022667.1)
Source: RNAcentral
CAAGCCCGGAGGAGCCGAUGCAGAUCGGUCACACGCGGCUCACUGAGGAGGAGAGACGCAGACGCCGCACCCAACAGCUGUGCAUGUAUUGUGGACAGGCAGGGCAUUUUGCUGCGAGGUGUCCGCUAAAAGACCAGGCUCAUCACUAGCAUGGAGGAUAGCGAUGAGCCGAACCAUGCUCGGCAGUGCCUCCGCACGGUCCCUUCCAACCGUGACACUGCAAUACUCGUUCGAUCCAGCAGGGGGUGCUGAUAGACUCGGGUGCGGACGCCAGCCUGAUGGACGCGGGGCUGGUUGAUCGCAUGGGCAUCCACACGGCACCAUUAGCGUCACCAGUUGAAACGGCGGCGUUGAAUGGCCGCAGAUUGUGGAGAGUCAAGCAUCACACCGCCCUUGUCUCCAUGUUAUUUGCUGAUGGACAUUCAGAGAGAAUCACGUUUUUAGUUGUGGAGUCCUGUUAUCACCCUAUUGUUUUAGGCCACACCUGGUUGAGGAGACACAACCCCACGCUGGAUUGGAGGAGUGGAGAGGUGCGCGAAUGGGACCCGGAGUGCCGGCGCACCUGCUUCCAGUCCAUCCCCGAACCAGAGGACCUUCAGAGCGGGUUGGGUAUGGAAGGAGGAGAGGAGGCUGACCUUAAUGGCGUUUCGGAGUGCUACCAUGACCUUCGCAUGGUCUUCAGUAAGGUUAGAGCCACAUCCCUUCCACCGCACCGGAAGCAUGACUGUGCGAUCAAUCUGAGACCAGGUACAGCGCCACCCAAGGGCAGGCUUUUCCACCUCUCACCAAAGGAGCGGACGGCCAUGAAAGAGUACUUGGAUUCAGCACUCGCAUCCGGGAUCAUACGGCCGUCCUCGUCACCCGCCGGAGCGGGGUUCUUCUUCGUGAGUAAAAAGGAUGGAUCAUUGAGACCCUGCAUAGACUAUUGGGGACUGAACGAUAUUACCAUUAGAGACUCUUAUCCGUUACCCCUGUUGUCAUCCGCCUUGAAUUACUUUCAGGAGCCACCUGUUUUA